Molecule: long non-coding RNA, 1086 nt
Filed under: Oreochromis niloticus (Nile tilapia)
Lineage: Eukaryota; Metazoa; Chordata; Actinopteri; Cichliformes; Cichlidae
Description: lncRNA (ENSONIG00000030465.1)
Source: RNAcentral
AUGUCCCUGGGACAACAUUUACAACAUUUACACGAUGUCCCUGGGACAACAUUUACACGAUGUCCCAGGGACAACAUUCACACGGUGUCCCAGGGACAACAUUUACAACAUUUACACGAUGUCCCUGGGACAACAUUCACACGGUGUCCCUGGGACAACAUUUACACGAUGUCCCAGGGACAACAUUCACACGGUGUCCCAGGGACAACAUUUACAACAUUUACACGAUGUCCCUGGGACAACAUUUACAACAUUUACACGAUGUCCCAGGGACAACAUUACAUGAUGUCCCUGGGACAACAUUUACACGAUGUCCCUGGGACAACUUUACACGAUGUCCCUGGGACAACUUUACACGAUGUCCCUGGGACAACUUUAACAAGAUGGCCCAGGCACAACAUUUACACGAUGUCCCAGGCACAACAUUUACAUGGUGUCCCAGGGACAACAUUUACAACAUUCACACGAUGUCCCUGGGACAACAUUCACACGGUGUCCCAGGGACAACAUUCACACGAUGUCCCAGGGACAACAUUCACACGGUGUCCCUGGGACAACAUUUACACGAUGUCCCAGGCACAACAUUUACACGAUGUCCCUGGGACAACAUUCACACGGUGUCCCAGGGACAACAUUCACACGAUGUCCCAGGGACAACAUUCACACGGUGUCCCUGGGACAACAUUUACACGAUGUCCCAGGGACAACAUUUACAACAUUCACACGAUGUCCCUGGGACAACAUUCACACGGUGUCCCUGGGACAACAUUUACACGAUGUCCCUGGGACAACAUUUACAACAUUUACACGAUGUCCCUGGGACAACAUUCACACAGUGUCCCAGGGACAACAUUACACGAUGUCCCUGGGACAACUUUAACAAGAUGGCCCAGGCACAACAUUUACACGAUGUCCCAGGCACAACAUUUACAUGGUGUCCCAGGGACAACAUUUACAACAUUUACACGAUGUCCCUGGGAUAACAUUCACACGGUGUCCCAGGACAAAUUUGUAAAUUUCGGGAUUACUGUUAAUCUCCAUAGAAUCAAGAACUCAUGUCCAGUUUCACAGCUAUGGACCAGUUAA